GGGUUGUGAGGUUAAGCGACUAAGCGUACACGGUGGAUGCCCUGGCAGUCAGAGGCGAUGAAGGACGUGCUAAUCUGCGAAAAGCGUCGGUAAGGUGAUAUGAACCGUUAUAGCCGGCGAUGUCCGAAUGGGGAAACCCAGUGCAAUUCGUUGCACUAUCGUUAACUGAAUACAUAGGUUAACGAGGCGAACCGGGGGAACUGAAACAUCUAAGUACCCCGAGGAAAAGAAAUCAACCGAGAUUCCCCCAGUAGCGGCGAGCGAACGGGGAGCAGCCCAGAGUCUGAAUCAGCUUGUGUGUUAGUGGAACGGUCUGGAAAGUCCGACGGUACAGGGUGAUAGUCCCGUACACCAAAAUGCACAGGCUGUGAACUCGAAGAGUAGGGCGGGACACGUGGUAUCCUGUCUGAAUAUGGGGGGACCAUCCUCCAAGGCUAAAUACUCCUGACUGACCGAUAGUGAACCAGUACCGUGAGGGAAAGGCGAAAAGAACCCCGGCGAGGGGAGUGAAAAAGAACCUGAAACCGUGUACGUACAAGCAGUGGGAGCACCUUCGGGUGUGACUGCGUACCUUUUGUAUAAUGGGUCAGCGACUUAUAUUCUGUAGCAAGGUUAACCGUAUAGGGGAGCCGCAGGGAAACCGAGUCUUAACUGGGCGUUAAGUUGCAGGGUAUAGACCCGAAACCCGGUGAUCUAGCCAUGGGCAGGUUGAAGGUUGGGUAACACUAACUGGAGGACCGAACCGACUAAUGUUGAAAAAUUAGCGGAUGACUUGUGGCUGGGGGUGAAAGGCCAAUCAAACCGGGAGAUAGCUGGUUCUCCCCGAAAGCUAUUUAGGUAGCGCCUCGUGAACUCAUCUUCGGGGGUAGAGCACUGUUUCGGCUAGGGGGUCAUCCCGACUUACCAACCCGAUGCAAACUACGAAUACCGAAGAAUGUUAUCACGGGAGACACACGGCGGGUGCUAACGUCCGUCGUGAAGAGGGAAACAACCCAGACCGCCAGCUAAGGUCCCAAAGUCAUGGUUAAGUGGGAAACGAUGUGGGAAGGCACAGACAGCCAGGAUGUUGGCUUAGAAGCAGCCAUCAUUUAAAGAAAGCGUAAUAGCUCACUGGUCGAGUCGGCCUGCGCGGAAGAUGUAACGGGGCUAAACCAUGCACCGAAGCUGCGGCAGCGACACUAUGUGUUGUUGGGUAGGGGAGCGUUCUGUAAGCCUGCGAAGGUGUGCUGUGAGGCAUGCUGGAGGUAUCAGAAGUGCGAAUGCUGACAUAAGUAACGAUAAAGCGGGUGAAAAGCCCGCUCGCCGGAAGACCAAGGGUUCCUGUCCAACGUUAAUCGGGGCAGGGUGAGUCGACCCCUAAGGCGAGGCCGAAAGGCGUAGUCGAUGGGAAACAGGUUAAUAUUCCUGUACUUGGUGUUACUGCGAAGGGGGGACGGAGAAGGCUAUGUUAGCCGGGCGACGGUUGUCCCGGUUUAAGCAUGUAGGCUGGUUAUCCAGGCAAAUCCGGAUAAUCAAGGCUGAGGUGUGAUGACGAGGCACUACGGUGCUGAAGUAACAAAUGCCCUGCUUCCAGGAAAAGCCUCUAAGCAUCAGGUAACAUCAAAUCGUACCCCAAACCGACACAGGUGGUCAGGUAGAGAAUACCAAGGCGCUUGAGAGAACUCGGGUGAAGGAACUAGGCAAAAUGGUGCCGUAACUUCGGGAGAAGGCACGCUGGUGUGUAGGUGAAGCCCCUGCGGGUGGAGCUGAGACCAGUCGAAGAUACCAGCUGGCUGCAACUGUUUAUUAAAAACACAGCACUGUGCAAACACGAAAGUGGACGUAUACGGUGUGACGCCUGCCCGGUGCCGGAAGGUUAAUUGAUGGGGUUAUCCGUAAGGAGAAGCUCUUGAUCGAAGCCCCGGUAAACGGCGGCCGUAACUAUAACGGUCCUAAGGUAGCGAAAUUCCUUGUCGGGUAAGUUCCGACCUGCACGAAUGGCGUAAUGAUGGCCAGGCUGUCUCCACCCGAGACUCAGUGAAAUUGAACUCGCUGUGAAGAUGCAGUGUACCCGCGGCAAGACGGAAAGACCCCGUGAACCUUUACUAUAGCUUGACACUGAACAUUGAGCCUUGAUGUGUAGGAUAGGUGGGAGGCUUUGAAGCGUGGACGCCAGUCUGCGUGGAGCCAACCUUGAAAUACCACCCUUUAAUGUUUGAUGUUCUAACGUUGGCCCCUUACCGGGGUUGCGGACAGUGUCUGGUGGGUAGUUUGACUGGGGCGGUCUCCUCCCAAAGCGUAACGGAGGAGCACGAAGGUUAGCUAAUCCUGGUCGGACAUCAGGAGGUUAGUGCAAUGGCAUAAGCUAGCUUGACUGCGAGCGUGACGGCGCGAGCAGGUGCGAAAGCAGGUCAUAGUGAUCCGGUGGUUCUGAAUGGAAGGGCCAUCGCUCAACGGAUAAAAGGUACUCCGGGGAUAACAGGCUGAUACCGCCCAAGAGUUCAUAUCGACGGCGGUGUUUGGCACCUCGAUGUCGGCUCAUCACAUCCUGGGGCUGAAGUAGGUCCCAAGGGUAUGGCUGUUCGCCAUUUAAAGUGGUACGCGAGCUGGGUUUAGAACGUCGUGAGACAGUUCGGUCCCUAUCUGCCGUGGGCGCUGGAGAAUUGAGGGGGGCUGCUCCUAGUACGAGAGGACCGGAGUGGACGCAUCACUGGUGUUCGGGUUGUCAUGCCAAUGGCACUGCCCGGUAGCUAAAUGCGGAAGAGAUAAGUGCUGAAAGCAUCUAAGCACGAAACUUGCCCCGAGAUGAGUUCUCCCUGAGACUUUAAGUCUCCUGAAGGAACGUUAAAGACGAUGACGUUGAUAGGCCGGGUGUGUAAGCGCAGCGAUGCGUUGAGCUAACCGGUACUAAUGAACCGUGAGGCUUAACCUUACAACGCCGAAG
Molecule: ribosomal RNA, 2923 nt
Filed under: Klebsiella pneumoniae
Lineage: Bacteria; Pseudomonadati; Pseudomonadota; Gammaproteobacteria; Enterobacterales; Enterobacteriaceae
Description: bacterial LSU rRNA
Rfam family: Bacterial large subunit ribosomal RNA
Source: RNAcentral